UACGUAGGGACCGAGCGUUGUCCGGAAUCAUUGGGCGUAAAGAGCGUGUAGGCGGCCUGUUAAGUCUUGCGUGAAAUCUCGGGGCUCAACCCCGGACUUGCGGUGGGUACGGGCAGACUAGAGUGUGGUAGGGGAGACUGGAAGUUCCUGGUGUAGCGGUGAAAUGACGCAGAUAUCAGGAGGAACACCGAUGGCGAAGGCAGGUCUCUGGGCCGAUACUGACGCUCAGGCGCGAAAGCUAGGGGAGCGAACAGG
RNAcentral lists this ribosomal RNA (255 nucleotides) under uncultured bacterium. RNAcentral's name for it is "partial 16S ribosomal RNA". It matches the Rfam family "Bacterial small subunit ribosomal RNA", at positions 524 to 776 of the family's 1533-position model. The record is from RNAcentral.